This is an RNA transcript of Labrus mixtus (cuckoo wrasse), 1680 nucleotides long. It is a transcript of the gene named N-terminal EF-hand calcium binding protein 1, with no coding region annotated. Lineage: Eukaryota; Metazoa; Chordata; Actinopteri; Labriformes; Labridae. The transcript is spliced from 14 exons. The record is from RefSeq and is a predicted model, not a curated record.
UUCUGGGGGACUUGACACCUGUCUGACAGUCUCUCUCUUUGACUCGUAGAGCUUUGAUCAGGAUAAGAGGUUCACUCGGACACAUUCCUCUUCAGUUUGCAGCUGAAGCUACAUUUUGAAUGAUGGAUUGUUCAGAGGAGGUUCAGUCUGUGUGUGAGGAGCCCGGCGCUCAGAUCGAGCUCAAAAAGGGAAUGUCGAUCUUCAUUGAUAUUUUACGGCGAGCUGAUAAAAACGACGACGGGAAACUAUCCUUUGAUGAAUUCAAAGCCUACUUCUCUGAUGGAGUCUUGACAGCUGACGAGUUGAAGGAGCUCUUCCACACAAUUGACACCCAUAACACAGACAAUGUGGACACUGAUGAACUCUGUGAGUAUUUCUCGCAGCACCUCAGUGAAUAUGAAAACGUUCUCGGUGCCUUAGAGGACCUGAACAUGGCAAUACUAAAGGCCAUGGACAAAACAAAGAAGGAUUAUCAGGAGUCCACCCACCUGGAGCAGUUUGUGACCCGUUUCCUGCUGAAGGAGACAACCAAUCAGCUUCAUUCGCUUCAAAGCUCACUUGAGUGUGCCAUGGAAACCACCGCGGAGCAGACUCGACAAGAGAAGCAGGGCCCGUUGAAGCCAGAGGUUUUGUCCAUCCAGUGGUCGGGCCGUCGAUCCAAUCGGAGACUUCAGAAGAACAGCAGCCUCUCCCCGAACAACCCACUCCUCAGUCUUGUCAAUUCAGGUGUUUAUGAUGAAGACAGCCAGUGGAUGAUCCAGGUCAACAGACUGCAGAAGCUUAUCGACCGUCUAGAGCAAAGGGAGAUUCGUCUGGAGCCAGUUGAAGAGGAGGUCUUAGAGAGCAAAUCGCACAUCCUGAUCGUCCAGAGGCAGCUGUGCGUGCUGGAGGAGGAGCUGGAGGAGUUUCGUUUGGCUCUCAGACAGUACAUGGAGUGUUCCUGUGCGCAGACUGGAUGUCUACACAUCGCAGUUCAGCGACUGGCAAAUGAAUCACGCUUCAUUCUCUAUGAAUUCUGGGAGCACAACAACGUGUGGAAGAAUCACCUGCAGACCAACUACAGUAAGACCUUCCAGAGGGCGAAUGUGGACUUCCUGGAAACCCCUGAGAGCUUAACCACCAUGCUGGUUCCUGCCUCAUGGUGGGUCCUCAACAACAACUGAAAAUAAAAGAGCAUCCCUCACAGAUUGUCACCGAUGUGAGCAGCCCGUCAACACAUCAGGAAGGCUCACACAGCACCCUUACACCGCACCCUCUCUCACACACACACACACACACACACACACACACACACACAUACACACACAAACAAGCACACACACAUAAGCACACACCGACUCGACACAACGUGUGAAGUCAUGGUGAUGAGUAUCAAUUUUGUGACCUCCAUGUUCCUUCAUAGUAAAGUGGUAGCUGAAAUAGCCAUGUGUGUGUGUGUGUGUGUGUGUGUGUGUGUCUGUGUGUGUGUGUGUGUGCAGGAGUUAGUGUGUGUUUUGUUACACUCUUAGACGACACUCUGACAUCCUAAAAGCAAUGACCUAGUAUUGUGAUGAUGUGACAUCAUAGCUGUGUUUGACGUGACAUCAUCAGCAGCCCAUUGUAGAUCAAGACGUGUGUGUGUGUGUGUGUGUGUGUGUGUGUGUGUGUGUGUGUGUGUGCGUGUGUGUGUGUGUGUGUGUG